CCAGGGUCGACCCUAGGGCAAACUUGUAAUUAUGUCAAAACCCUUCGGACGCUCUCUUUUUGUUGGGAAUUUCUCCUAGAGCCGACCCAGCUCUCCCCUUUCUUCCUCCCUCCGAACCUAAGGCUCUCCAUCUCUUCUCCCUCAAACCUAGAUUACUCUCAAAUCUCUUCUCCCACUCAUUUUCAUCCUUCAAAUCGACCAUUUAGGAACCAAGUUUUUCUUCUCUUCCCUCCUCAUUUGGGAUGGUUCGAGCUUACCCUAAACUCUACCCAUCUUCUCCAA
RNAcentral lists this long non-coding RNA (282 nucleotides) under Elaeis guineensis (African oil palm). RNAcentral's name for it is "long non-coding RNA (EGUI_LNC082220)". Lineage: Eukaryota; Viridiplantae; Streptophyta; Magnoliopsida; Arecales; Arecaceae. The record is from RNAcentral.